This 244-nucleotide unclassified non-coding RNA is filed under the name Hevea brasiliensis (rubber tree). The record is from RNAcentral. Lineage: Eukaryota; Viridiplantae; Streptophyta; Magnoliopsida; Malpighiales; Euphorbiaceae.
GAAAAUGGUGAUACGUUUUCAUAAAGCCAGCAAUCUGAUUGCGGAACCAUCUGCUUCCAGCAGGUGACUCAUAUGGGAAAACAGAGUUCUCCUUGAGCAUGCUAGCAAGAUAAGCUAGGAAAGGAAUCUUCUCAUCUGCUACAGCAUCAUCUUCAAAUGAUAAAUCCAGAGAAGUACUGAUAUCGUGGAAUCCGUUUUUUACGAACUCAAAUAUCUUUUUAACCUGACUUGGCUGACGAAGUUG